This 27-nucleotide small RNA is filed under the name Bombyx mori (domestic silkworm). RNAcentral's name for it is "ovarian small RNA-8272". Lineage: Eukaryota; Metazoa; Arthropoda; Insecta; Lepidoptera; Bombycidae. The record is from RNAcentral.
UGAUACUACACACUUGUAUCUUCGCGC